GCAAGUCGAGGGUGAAGCUAUUUUCGGAUGGUGGAAACCGGCGCACGGGUGAGUAACGCGUACACUACCUACCUCAUACUGGGGAAUAGCCUUUGGAAACGAAGAGUAAUACCCCAUAGUUCCCGAUGUAUUUCGGGAUAAAGUUCCGGCGGUAUGAGAUGGGUGUGCGUCCCAUUAGCUAGUUGGUAGGGUAAAGGCCUACCAAGGCAACGAUGGGUAGGGGGCGUGAGAGCGUGAUCCCCCACACGGGUACUGAGACACGGACCCGACGACUACGGUCGGCAGCAGUAAGGAAUAUUGGACAAUGGGCGAAAGCCUGAUCCAGCCAUCCCGCGUGUAGGAUGACAGCCCUACGGGUCGUAAACUACUUUUGCUUGGGAAGAAACCCCUGGAUUUACUCCGGGGCUGACGGUACCUUGCGAAUAAGCACCGGCUAACUCCGUGCCAGCAGCCGCGGUAAUACGGAGGGUGCAAGCGUUAUCCGGAAUCACUGGGUUUAAAGGGUGCGUAGGCGGCGUUAUAAGUCAGAGGUGAAAGCUUGCAGCUUAACUGUAAAAUUGCCUCUGAUACUGUAGUGCUUGAAUCAGGUUGAGGUCAGCGGAAUGUGGCAUGUAGCGGUGAAAUGCAUAGAUAUGCCAUAGAACACCAAUUGC
Molecule: ribosomal RNA, 653 nt
Filed under: uncultured bacterium
Lineage: Bacteria
Description: bacterial SSU rRNA
Rfam family: Bacterial small subunit ribosomal RNA
Source: RNAcentral